CAAAACAAUAUGAUAUAAUAAUUUAGAAUUGCAAGAAGUCAUUGCAUACAAAUAAGUGAACGGCAGGCCCUGUGCGAUUGGGGUCUGUGAACCAUGUCAGGUGGGGAACCAAGCAGCAUUAAGCAGUAUUUCUGAUGCGAUACAGCCAGUCUGCCGUUCUCUUAUUUGUGUGAUUGCCGUUGUUUCG
Molecule: unclassified non-coding RNA, 187 nt
Filed under: Ruminococcus sp. YE282
Lineage: Bacteria; Bacillati; Bacillota; Clostridia; Eubacteriales; Oscillospiraceae
Description: Bacterial large signal recognition particle RNA
Rfam family: Bacterial small signal recognition particle RNA (bases 61-159)
About the family: The signal recognition particle (SRP) is a universally conserved ribonucleoprotein involved in the co-translational targeting of proteins to membranes. Archaeal SRP consists of a 7S RNA and homologues of the eukaryotic SRP19 and SRP54 proteins. In most bacteria, the SRP consists of a 4.5S RNA and the Ffh protein (a homologue of the eukaryotic SRP54 protein).
Source: RNAcentral